AUGCAGCCAUGCGCGCGUGUGAUGAAGAAGGCCUUCGGGUUGUAAAGUACUUUCAGCGGGAAGGAAGGUGUUGUGGUUAAUAACCGCAGCAAUUGACGUUACCCGCAGAAGAAGCACCGGCUAACUCCGUGCCAGCAGCCGCGGUGAUACGGAGGGUGCAAGCGUUAAUCGGAAUUACUGGGCGUAAAGCGCACGCAGGCGGUUUGUUAAGUCAGAUGUGAAAUCCCCGGGCUCAACCUGGGAACUGCAUUUGAAACUGGCAAGCUGGAGUCUCGUACAGGGAGGUAGAAUUCCAGGUGUAGCGGUGAAAUGCGUAGAGAUCUGGAGGAAUACCGGUGGCGAAGGCGGCCUCCUGGACGAAGACGGACGCUUAAGUGCGAAAGCGUGGGGAGCAAACAGGAUUAGAUACCCUGGUAGUCCACGCUGUAAACCAUGUCGAUUUGGAGGUUGUGCCCUUGAGGCGUGGCUUCCGGAGCUAACGCGUUGAAUCGACCGCCUGGGGAGUACGGCCGCAAGGUUAAAACUCAAGUGAAUUGACCGGGGCCCGCACAAGCGGUGGAGCAUGUGGUUUAAUUCCAUGCAGCGCGAAAAAUCUUACGUGGUCUUGAGAUCCAGAGACUCCUGCGGAGAUGCGCGAGUGCCUUCUCGAACUCUGAGACAAGUACUGCAUGGCUGUCGUCAGCUCGUGUUGUGAAAUGUUGGGUUGAGUCCCGCAACGAGCGCAACCCUUAUGCUUUGUUGCCGGCGCGUAAUGCCAUGAACUCACAGUACACUGCCGGUCAUGGACCUCAACAUCGUGCUGAUAACCUCCAGCUAGCCUGUCUCUUACGACGGUCCCUAGUCGAGUGCGGGGAUUUCAUAUACUAAUAGAAAGCAACGUCGGCAUGGGAUGCACACCUCAGUAAUUUAUAUCAUAGUCUCGCAUCGUACUCUUCAACUCGACUGCUGGCACUCGAGAAUCGCUGGUGCUCCCGCAUCAGAUA
This 983-nucleotide ribosomal RNA is filed under the name Cronobacter sp. RNAcentral's name for it is "bacterial SSU rRNA". It matches the Rfam family "Bacterial small subunit ribosomal RNA", at positions 386 to 1354 of the family's 1533-position model. The record is from RNAcentral. Lineage: Bacteria; Pseudomonadati; Pseudomonadota; Gammaproteobacteria; Enterobacterales; Enterobacteriaceae.